Molecule: unclassified non-coding RNA, 331 nt
Filed under: soil metagenome
Description: partial contains 5.8S ribosomal RNA, internal transcribed spacer 2, and large subunit ribosomal RNA
Rfam family: 5.8S ribosomal RNA (bases 1-120)
Source: RNAcentral
GAUGAAGAACGCAGCGAAAUGCGAUAAGUAAUGUGAAUUGCAGAAUUCAGUGAAUCAUCGAAUCUUUGAACGCACAUUGCGCCCCCUGGUAUUCCGGGGGGCAUGCCUGUUCGAGCGUCAUUUCACCACUCAAGCCUCGCUUGGUAUUGGGCAACGCGGUCCGCCGCGUGCCUCAAAUCGACCGGCUGGGUCUUCUGUCCCCUAAGCGUUGUGGAAACUAUUCGCUAAAGGGUGUUCGGGAGGCUACGCCGUAAAACAACCCCAUUUCUAAGGUUGACCUCGGAUCAGGUAGGGAUACCCGCUGAACUUAAGCAUAUCAAUAAGCGGAAGA